RNAcentral lists this ribosomal RNA (497 nucleotides) under uncultured bacterium. Its description in RNAcentral is "partial 16S ribosomal RNA". It matches the Rfam family "Bacterial small subunit ribosomal RNA", at positions 28 to 507 of the family's 1533-position model. The record is from RNAcentral.
GAUGAACGCUGGCGGCGUGCCUAACACAUGCAAGUCGAGCGAACGGACGAGAAGCUCGCUUCUCUGAUGUUAGCGGCGGACGGGUGAGUAACACGUGGAUCACCUACUUAUAAGACUGGGAUAACUUCGGGAAACCGGAGCUAAUACCGGAUAAUAUUUUGAACCGCAUGGAUCAAAAGUGAAAGACGGUCUUGCUGUCACUAAUAGAUGGAUCCGCGCUGCAUUAGCUAGUUGGUAAGGUAACGGCUUACCAAGGCAACGAUGCGUAGCCGACCUGAGAGGAUGAUCGGCCACACUGGAACUGAGACACGGUCCAGACUCCUACGGGAGGCAGCAGUAGGGAAUCUUCCGCAAUGGGCGAAAGCCUGACGGAGCAACGCCGCGUGAGUGAUGAAGGUCUUCGGAUCGUAAAACUCUUUUAUUAGGGAAGAACAUAUGUGUAAUUAACUGUGCACAUCUUGACGGUACCUAAUCAGAAAGCCACGGCUAACUACGUG